This is a long non-coding RNA of Globicephala melas (long-finned pilot whale), 687 nucleotides long. RefSeq lists it as uncharacterized. The record is from RefSeq and is a predicted model, not a curated record. Lineage: Eukaryota; Metazoa; Chordata; Mammalia; Artiodactyla; Delphinidae.
GGAAGGUGUUGCUGGAGGCCGGACUCGAGGAGGCGAGACGGGUGAGCAAAGGCCGCUAGAGCCCAGGGUUCCAAGAGGUCUGGGGCGGCGGCAGGCCCCUUGCAGUUACCCUGGUGUUGAGGAGGGUCGGUCGCUGCCUCGCCCAGCCUGCUGCUGAACCCGCUGAUGCCCAGGCCACCCGCCUGCAUCUUGAUCGCCGACUUGAGCUCGUGAUUCUCCCGAAGGAGCCGCACCAGCUUCUUCAGUUCCUCAUUUUCCCGCACCAGCCUCUCGAUCUGAUGGCGAAGCCCCUCGUAAUUGGGGGACACAGCAGACAGCAGGCCAAACUCCAUCGGCAGAGAUGCCCUGCCCGCCUCGACCAGGCCCAUCCUGAGCCCUUUGUGGCACUGCCAGCUGCCCCAGCCCCGAGCCCCACCUGAUCUCCUCUCUGCACACCUCAUCUGCUUCCUCCCUGCUUUCUUCACCUGUUGGCACCCACCCCUUCUCCUGGACAUUCUCUUGCCGGACGCAUCUUCCUGAACCCACAGCCAGCUGUGGCUCCUGCCAGAGGCCCCUUCACCGGCAGGACAGGUCCAAGCCCUCACCCACGUGCAGCCCUGGCCUUCCCUCCUGCGGUGGCCCCGCCCUGGCCCGCUGGCGACCAUCAGGCGGGUGGUGUGAUCAGUGUGUCGGAAGCACACCUGGCAG